GAUGAAGAACGUAGCGAAAUGCGAUAAGUAGUGUGAAUUGCAGAAUUCAGUGAAUCAUCGAAUCUUUGAACGCACAUUGCGCCCUUUGGUAUUCCUUAGGGCAUGCCUGUUCGAGCGUCAUUUACAAAUUCAAGCUCAGCUUGGUGAUGGGUGUCUGUCCCGCCUCUGCGCGUGGACUCGCCUCAAAUGCAGUUGGCAGCUUAUUCCUCGGCUCUAAACGCAGCAGAUUUGCGUCGAGCGUCGUGUGGACGGGCUCUCCAGUAAGCAAACCCCCCAAAAUUGACCUCGGAUCAGGUAGGGAUACCCGCUGAACUUAAGCAUAUCAAUAAGCGGAGGA
This 337-nucleotide unclassified non-coding RNA is filed under the name soil metagenome. Its description in RNAcentral is "partial contains 5.8S ribosomal RNA, internal transcribed spacer 2, and large subunit ribosomal RNA". The stretch from base 1 to 120 matches the Rfam family "5.8S ribosomal RNA", at positions 35 to 154 of the family's 154-position model. The record is from RNAcentral.